GAUGAACGCUGGCGGCGUGCCUAAUACAUGCAAGUCGAGCGAAGCGGGGACGGGUGAGUAACACGUAUCUAACCUCCUAUAUAGCUGGGAUAACUUAGUGCAACCGGAGCUAAACCGGAUCCUUAUCGGUGGUUCCGCUCUGCAUUAGCUAGUUGGUAGGGUAACGGGUUACCAAGGCAACGAUGCAUAGCAGACCUGAGAGGGGGAUCGGCCACACUGGAACUGAGACACGGUCCAGACUCCUACGGGAGGCAGCAGUAGGGAAUCUUCCGCAAUGGGCGAAAGCCUGACGGAGCAACGCCGCGUGAAUGAUGAAGGUCUUCGGAUUGUAAAACUCUGUUAUUAGGGAAGCGGUACCUAAUCAGAAAGCCACGGCUAACUACGUGCCAGCAGCCGCGGUAAUUC
Molecule: ribosomal RNA, 405 nt
Filed under: uncultured bacterium
Lineage: Bacteria
Description: partial 16S ribosomal RNA
Rfam family: Bacterial small subunit ribosomal RNA
Source: RNAcentral